AUGGCUCAGGAUGAACGCUAGCGACAGGCUUAACACAUGCAAGUCGAGGGGCAGCAUAGAAGUAGCAAUACUUGGUGGCGACCGGCGCACGGGUGAGUAACGCGUAUGCAACCUACCUAUCAGAGGGGAAUAACCCGGCGAAAGUCGGACUAAUACCGCAUAAAACAGGGGCACCGCAUGGUGAUAUUUGUUAAAGAAAUUCGCUGAUAGAUGGGCAUGCGUUCCAUUAGGUAGUUGGUGAGGUAACGGCUCACCAAGCCGACCGAUGGAUAGGGGAACGUGAGAGGUUGGUCCCCCACCACUGGUACUGAGACACGGACCAGACUCCUACGGGAGGCAGCAGUGAGGAAUAUUGGUCAAUGGGCGGGAGCCUGAACCAGCCAAGUCGCGUGAAGGAAAGAAGGAUCUAUGGUUCGUAAACUUCUUUUGCAGGGGAAUAGAGUGCAGGACGUGUCCUGUUUUGUAUGUACCCUGAGAAUAAGGAUCGGCUAACUCCGUGCCAGCCGCUGC
RNAcentral lists this ribosomal RNA (510 nucleotides) under uncultured bacterium. RNAcentral's name for it is "bacterial SSU rRNA". It matches the Rfam family "Bacterial small subunit ribosomal RNA", at positions 19 to 518 of the family's 1533-position model. The record is from RNAcentral.